RNAcentral lists this unclassified non-coding RNA (379 nucleotides) under uncultured Bacteriovoracaceae bacterium. Its description in RNAcentral is "contains 16S-23S intergenic spacer region". The record is from RNAcentral. Lineage: Bacteria; Pseudomonadati; Bdellovibrionota; Bacteriovoracia; Bacteriovoracales; Bacteriovoracaceae.
UCCAGGUUAACCCUGGCAGUCUCUCUAGAGUGCCCAACUUAAUGCUGGCAACUAAAGAUAGGGGUUGCGCUCGUUGCGAGACUUAACCCAACAUUUCACAACACGAGCUGACGACAGCCAUGCAGCGCCUGUCUCCGCAUUCCCCGAAGGGCACUCCCAUAUCUCUACGGGAUUCGCGGGAUUUCAAACCCAGGUAAGGUUCUGCGCGUUGCUUCGAAUUAAACCACAUAAUCCACCGCUUGUGCGGGCCCCCGUCAAUUCCUUUGAGUUUUAGUCUUGCGACCGUACUCCCCAGGCGGAGCACUUAAUGCGUUUGCUACGUCACGGCAGGGGUUAAUACCUGCCACAACUAGUGCUCAUAGUUUACGGCGUGGACUAC